AAUCCGUGAUGUGGGCAUUGUCUGAGCAUAUUAUUGUAUCUAUCCCAUGCUUCAAAUGAGGAUUCAGUGUCUGACUGCCUGAAGUUUGCAAUAAGAUUUCUUAUAUGAGU
Molecule: small nucleolar RNA, 110 nt
Organism: Zingiber officinale
Lineage: Eukaryota; Viridiplantae; Streptophyta; Magnoliopsida; Zingiberales; Zingiberaceae
Source: RefSeq, a predicted model, not a curated record